RNAcentral lists this ribosomal RNA (421 nucleotides) under uncultured bacterium. RNAcentral describes it as "bacterial SSU rRNA". It matches the Rfam family "Bacterial small subunit ribosomal RNA", at positions 358 to 770 of the family's 1533-position model. The record is from RNAcentral.
GGAAUCUUCCACAAUGGACGAAAGUCUGGCGGAGCAACGCCUCGUGAGUGAUGAAGGUUUUCGGAUCGUAAAACUCUGUUGGUAGGGAAGAACAAGUACCGUUCGAAUAGGGCGGUAUCGUGACGGUACCUAACCAGAAAGCCACGGCUAACUACGUGCCAGCAGCCGCGGUAAUACGUAGGUGGCAAGCGUUGUCCGGAAUUAUUGGGCGUAAAGCGCGCGCAGGCGGUUUCUUAAGUCUGAUGUGAAAGCCCCCGGCUCAACCGGGGAGGGUCAUUGGAAACUGGGGAACUUGAGUGCAGAAGAGGAGAGUGGAAUUCCACGUGUAGCGGUGAAAUGCGUAGAGAUGUGGAGGAACACCAGUGGCGAAGGCGACUCUCUGGUCUGUAACUGACGCUGAGGCGCGAAAGCGUGGGGAGCG